GUAGAAUCCUUUGCAGAC
Molecule: small nuclear RNA, 18 nt
Filed under: Arabidopsis thaliana (thale cress)
Lineage: Eukaryota; Viridiplantae; Streptophyta; Magnoliopsida; Brassicales; Brassicaceae
Description: snRNA_03937
Source: RNAcentral